Long non-coding RNA from Solanum tuberosum (potato), 437 nucleotides. RefSeq lists it as uncharacterized. The record is from RefSeq and is a predicted model, not a curated record. The transcript is spliced from 3 exons. NCBI's taxonomy places the organism in Eukaryota, Viridiplantae, Streptophyta, Magnoliopsida, Solanales, Solanaceae.
AAGGCUAUGAUUGGUCCAAAGGGCGGGUCAUAGACGGAUUUCUCGGUUAUAAAAAAAAAGAUCUUGCAGAGACUUUCGAGAACUUCAGAAGUAUUGAUGACAAGGCUAUGUUUAUCUUAAACUCUGGAACAUUCCAGUCCUGGAACAAUCGUCAUCUUCCUUAUCUCCAAGCGCAGUGCAUUGUUUGAUCUACUUGAGUCUUUCCUGACUACUAAAUAUCCGGAAGGUCUUCGUGCAAGUCAACUUGCAUGUAGGGAUGGUGAUGCUGAAUAUUCACUACUUGUAAACUUGAAAAGGUUGGAUGAUGAUCUUCAGUUGUCACGGCAAAUUUCCAUCGAAAGCUUGCAUAAUGAUCUUGCAGAAACUGCCCCAAGGCUUAGCUCAAGUGGAAAAAGGUGGAGGAUUUGUGGCUUAGGUCACCGGUUCAAUCCCAACAC